This is a non-coding RNA of 364 nucleotides. It matches the Rfam family "transfer-messenger RNA". From Rfam's summary of the family: Bacterial tmRNA, also known as 10Sa RNA or SsrA, is named for its dual tRNA and mRNA-like properties. Its role is to liberate the mRNA from a stalled ribosome. The record is from Rfam.
GGGGAUGUUUUGGAUUCGACAGGUAUAGGUCGAGCUUAAACUGCGUUUGGUUUUGCACACCUAAUGUGCUCAGUUAAAAUAUAACUGCAAAAAAUAACACAAACUCUUACGCUUUAGCUGCCUAAUCGCAGUUGCGUAAAUCCACCUGCCAUCGUCCAUGUGUCAGUGUUGGGUUUUAUAAUUAGUGGACUUACGCUUAAUGCUCCCACCUGAAGUGUUGAGAAGAGCUUAAUCAGGUUAGCCUUUAAUGUUAGCCCUGUUGCUUGGCGGAAUUAAGGGUGAAGCUUAAAUGAAGUAACUAUGAGCGUAGACGUUUAAGUGGCGAUAUGCUUGGACGCGGGUUCAAUUCCCGCCAUCUCCAUUU